CUACGUGCCAGCAGCCGCGGUAAUACGUAGGGCGCGAGCGUUGUCCGGAAUUAUUGGGCGUAAAGAGCUUGUAGGCGGUUUGUCGCGUCUGCUGUGAAAGGCCGGGGCUUAACUCCGUGUAUUGCAGUGGGUACGGGCAGACUAGAGUGCAGUAGGGGAGACUGGAAUUCCUGGUGUAGCGGUGGAAUGCGCAGAUAUCAGGAGGAACACCGAUGGCGAAGGCAGGUCUCUGGGCUGUAACUGACGCUGAGAAGCGGAAGCAUGGGGAGCGAACAGGAUUAGAUACCCUGGUAGUCCAUGCCGUAAACGUUGGGCACUAGGUGUGGGGGACAUUCCACGUUUUCCGCGCCGUAGCUAACGCAUUAAGUGCCCCGCCUGGGGAGUACGGCCGCAAGGCUAAAACUCAAAGAAAUUGACGGGGGCCCGCACAAGCGGCGGAGCAUGCGGAUUAAUUCGAUGCAACGCGAAGAACCUUACCAAGGCUU
This 485-nucleotide ribosomal RNA is filed under the name uncultured bacterium. Its description in RNAcentral is "bacterial SSU rRNA". It matches the Rfam family "Bacterial small subunit ribosomal RNA", at positions 501 to 982 of the family's 1533-position model. The record is from RNAcentral.